RNAcentral lists this long non-coding RNA (4967 nucleotides) under Gallus gallus (chicken). RNAcentral describes it as "lncRNA (ENSGALG00010019044.1)". Lineage: Eukaryota; Metazoa; Chordata; Aves; Galliformes; Phasianidae. The record is from RNAcentral.
GUGGGUGUUAUGCUGAGAAAGGUACAUGCAAGGGAAGAAGAACAGAGGCUGCACCAAGCUGGGAGAAACUGCAAGCACAUGGGAAGACGGGAUACACUAAUUCCAGAGUCAUCGUUGUGAUCCUUUGUUGAACUCACUCCUGUAUGUUCAUGGUCUCACCAGUGCUGAGUAAAGGGGAAGGAUCAUAUAUCUGAUCACUGGUUCCUCCUAACUUUGCUUCCUUCAGGGAAGGCAACUUCAUUUCAGUUCUCUCUUAUUUCAGGCUUUGCAGUUUUUCUUUUUCUUUAGAAAGCUGAAGGUCUGGUGGCUGCCUGAUCUGGUGGUUGGCAACCCUGCACAUAGAAGGGGGGUUGAAACUAGAUGUUCACUGUGGUCCUUUUCAACCCAGGCCAUUCCAUGAUUCUAUGAAAAAUAUAGUCCUAUGUAAGUGUCAGUGGAAGGAAGAACAUAGUGGGAGGAGAAGCCUCCCCACACUACAACAAAAUCCUAAUCCUGGAGAAAAAAAUAAUCUAUUUUUAUAGCUGAUGGUGUAUUUCAAGGAUGCCAAGAUUUAGGGAAUUCUUCUCCUGACUUUAAACUUUUUAAUUUUUAUUUGUUCUAAAGGUUAAAAAGUGAUUGAAGGAUAAUGAAAAUAAGUGCUGAAGUAAAAACUCAUUUUUUUUGUUUUGUUUUGUUUUGUUUUUAACAGAAAGUGUCAGAAUGUUUUAAAAUCAGAAAUAAUUUUAGAGAACAAGAAAAAAAUAUUUUAAUGACAUUUUAAAAAGACUGUUUCCUUUUCACAUCAGUAAAUAUAUAUCACUGGAUUGAGAAUCUGAUUCACUUCGGAUUAUGUUAUUUUGGGGUUGUCAGUUACUCCUUGCCAAAGAAAGGUGGAUGUAUGUUGGAAAUACUGAAAUAGUAUUUGAUAACAAAUGUACUUUAAUGAAGAGGUGCCUUGGAUCCUUUUAGUUGUGUGUCUUCUUACCUUAAUACUAGUAAUUAGAAGAUUAAGGAACUGAACUCAAGGCUUCACAGCUUGAAAACAAAAAUAUGAAUUUAAUAUAUGUACUUGUUAUAAUCAAAAUGUGAUCUUGUUAAUAUAGAUGAAAGGACAGAGAAAGAAAAGCAAAUUGAUGCCUUGACAAUGUAAGAGCAUGAAAUUAAAUUUAUUAAAAGAGCAAUCAGACAAUAGUCUUCCUCUGCAUGUCAUUUUAUGUCCGUAAUUAUAUACUUCCUUUCUCUGAAUGAGUUUAUGAUGCUUUUGGGGAGAUGGUCAUCUGAUACACGCUAGAACUGUUACCAUUUUACAGAUGAGAGUGGAGUCAUGGAGUAAAUACAGUGGCCUACAUUCUGUGAAGAAUUUGCUAUAACCUCACCUUUGCUGAAUGUUUAUCAAGUUUCCCAGCUGCAAGUCAUCUUUUGUUUCAAGAAAAAAGAAAUUGUUUAUUUCCAGGAAGAGAAAAAAAUGUCAUUGUCAAGAAUAUGAGGAAAAAGGCACUCCUUCAUUUCUAUAAAAAUAGAUAUACUCGCUAUGAUUAACUGAUCUUUGAACUUUUCUGUUUGUUUGAUCAUUUUUUUAACCCAAACUAUUUUCACAUCUAAAUGUGGUCUUAUUUAAAAUUUAUUGAAAUAUGAGGGCUUAUUUUUUCAGUGAACGAGAAGAGUAAACAGGGUCUGGUCCUUAGAAAUUGCUCUCUCCCAAGAGAUAAAAUGAGCUCAUGCUUUCAUGAUGAAUUGUAAUCCUUGAGGUAUACUGUUCUGUUCUGUUGAGUGACUUCUGAUUUCUUUAGUUUGGUCUCUUAAUCUGUUUUUUUUUUUUUUUUUUUUUUUUUUUUUUUUUUUUUUUUUUUAACUGAAUAUUGAUUUCAGUUCACUGCUUUACUGGAAGUACUGUACCAAAGAUUAUCUUUCGACAGUCUCCAAGCAUGAGAUGCUUAGUAGAAGUCCCUCGUCUUACUAGAGGUUUAUAUUCUUAGAGCAGGUUUUUUCUCUUAAUACGUAGGCUAGUGCUAUGAACAGUUGUAUCUACAAAUACUUUAAUACUUUCUUAACUUUUUAGAUAACUGUCAGCAAUGAUAGUUAAGCUCAGAUGAUAAUUUCUUUAUCUUCACAUUUUCCUUCAUAUUUUUAUUUGAGUUUUUAUUAAGAUGAUUUUUAUUAGGAUAGUUUUGGAAAAGAUUUUAAUGCAUUUCUUGCUUGAAAUCCAGUGGGAAAUUGUUUUUUUUUUUUUAUUUUUUUUCUUCAGAAUAAAGUGAGGGCAGUGGACAGUGAAAAAUUAAUUAGGUAGAUUCAGCUAAGUAAUCAGGCAGACUGAUGAGUGAUUAAACAAUAAGUGUCUAAGAAAGUUUUUUAAUUAUAACAAGGUAUUUCGUUAAUCCUGGGUAAAUGAAAUUAAUUUUAACUUCUUUCAUGUCAUAUUUCUCUCUGAUGUCAUAUUUCAGAUUUGUGUUAGAGUGACUUUAUAAUGACAAGUCCUAGACUGGGACUCUAUCAACAUCUCUAAAUCAAAAGAGGAGAGAUAAGAACUUGAAGUAGCUGUGAGGAAGAAAAAAUCCACUCACUGGAGAAUGAAGGUGUUUGAUGUGGAUUUUGCUACCUAAAUCUAAUUGUGAUCUUCAAAACUUGUAACUAAUUUGUCAGGUUAUGUCUACAUGGCAGAAUGCAGUACUGCAGGAUGUCUGAGCUAUCUGUGAAUGAAUUAAUGCCAGGACUAGAAGAAAUAUGUGUGCAGUUCAGCACUUUUUUUUAUCUAAUGUAGAGUAGACUUGAAUAAUUUACAUCAGUCUACACAGCUUUGCAUUGUGCCAUGUCCACAGGUGCCUAGCACUGUUUUUAUGUAUGCCACUGCCAGUCUUAGUAUGGCAAAUGAUCUUAAUGCUUUAGGAUCCAAGAGUAUGCUUUAGGGUCUGACCUUGCCCCUGAGCAGGGGAAAAUCAGGAUUGACACUCUUCUAGGAGUGUUUUUCACUGUGUUUAUAGAAAAGGUUGUCACUGGGUUUCCUGUACCACAAUUUGAUGCAAAGAUACUUCUCUCUGGCUCUCAAGUGCUUUUGACAAUCCUUUAUUUUGGCCGUGCAGGCAUGAAGGCUGGGAUCUGUGAGCUGCAACUUUUCCAUUGCUGAACUGUCAAGAUUGAAGGAAACAGUACAACUGAAGGGACAUCAUUGUGAGACAGAAUUUCUGAGAACAUUGCCCAGAUUGUAGGUUUCUAUGUCUACCACAUGGGCAUCUGAAUCACAGAAACAGACAAGAUUAGACACAUUAAUUGUCAUAUCUGGCUCUCUGCUCAACCUGGGAGCUAAUAAAAAUGCUGUAGAGAAGUAAUUUAUAAUUAGAAGACAGUGGGAGUGUGAUAACACAUCCUCACUAUUAUUACUCUGAGUAUGUAGUCUGCAUUUCUGGAUGUGCAUGCAGCUUUGUCAUUAUCCUUAUUUUCAUUUAGAAAAUUUUGUUAGAGCAGAUUUGGGGAUUUUCAGCCUUGCUUGAAGUAUUUGGAAGUCUGCACAGAGCAAGUGUUGCAGCAACCAGACAGAGGUGAAUUGAGAAAUUUCAGUGCAUUUGUUUGUCAGGAUGAAUGAGUCCAGUAAGGAAGAGAAAAGAAGCUGGUCACACAUGAAGAAGGAUGGACAUACAUGUUAACAAAUCUUCGGGAUACCUGCUGUGUAUUAUGUCUUUGGCAAGAAUUUCUUUUCUAGAAAUCCUAGGAGUUUUGUGCAAAAAGAUGUCAAAUGCCUCUGAUACCUGUGCUGAAAGACCUUAGAAGACGCUAAGUCAGAGUAAAUGUAGUCAGUUUGGCCUAUAAGCUUCUUCUUGUGUCAGAGACUGAACUCUGGUAACAAUUGCAACUGCACAGUACUAAGUCUCCAUGACAAUGCAACUGCCUUAAAAACCUUUAAAAAAACUAGUAGCUUAUUAAGCAAAAAUACAAAUUUAUUGGGAAUGAAUAAAAUACACUUAACAUCCUUGAAAAUUCAGCUGCUAAAAAUAAAUAAAUGUUAAAAAAAAAAAAAAUAGAACACCUAAGGGUUGAUUCAGAAUUCAUGCAGAAUCCUGAAUUGAUUUGAUCAAAGAAAUAGCAGUUACUCUUCCUUCUCACAGACCUCCUCCUCCAUAGAAUGAAUGCAAAGAAUGAAUAGAAAAAUUGUCUUCUCUAAUUUGAACUUGAUAAAGCCUUGACAGAUCCAUCUGUUUCAUUCUUUGUGGGAGAUAAUACAUGGUAGUAAUUCUAACUUCAUUUAUCAUCAAAAAACAGGUGAUCUGAGCUCUACAUCAUAUAAUACAAUACACAAAAGAAUUCUACAUAUAUUGUCCUUCCUGCUCUUUGUUACUGUUUCUAUCUUUCUGGAAUUUCACAAAUCAGCAUUUCUUUCCUUCUUCUGCCACUUAUUUGAUAAUUUCUUUGUCAUGUUAGAGUUCAUUUUCUUUAUAUUGUUUGCUUUUGUGUUUUUUUCAUUUGUUUAUUUGUUUGUUUAUAUGUUUUUACAUUUCCAGUAUAAACUUCAAAUGCUUUUAAACUGUCACUUUAGUGUGGCUGUCUCUAUUAAAACCAGACAAACGUCACCAGGUUGAGAUAUAUCUAUUGUAGGAACUGGGAUUUUAUAUGAUUACAUGAAUUCUCACUUGAAAAGGAAUAAUUCUAGUUUCAAUGUUUCAUAUUUAUUAGUACCACAGGCAAAACUGAAUGUCUGUAUUGUAAAGCAGGAUAUGCAUCAGGAAGUGAUCUUUCCCAGCAUCAGAUAAAUAUUUGUUAUUUUAGAUUAAAAUAAUUUUUUAAGAUCUUUUGCAAUUAAUUCUCAAGUCAGGACUCUUCUGAGUCUUUACUCUUUGAGUAAAAUAGUUGGAUUUGUUUUGUGGUUGAGUGGUUGUGGGUUUUGUUUUGUUUCUUUUUCACCAGUUUUCUGACUGGGAAUGGACAUUACAGUAAGGAACUGAAGCAAAUGAUUUCUUUCAGCUCAGUCCCAAAGUUUAUUGCAUUAGGAAAGAAAAAAU